Molecule: ribosomal RNA, 531 nt
Filed under: uncultured Pelagibacterales bacterium
Lineage: Bacteria; Pseudomonadati; Pseudomonadota; Alphaproteobacteria; Candidatus Pelagibacterales
Description: bacterial SSU rRNA
Rfam family: Bacterial small subunit ribosomal RNA
Source: RNAcentral
UACUUAGUGGCAGACGGGUGAGUAGCAUGUGGGUAUCUACCCUUUGGCCUGGAAUAACACGAGGAAACUUGUGCUAAUACCGGAUAAGUCUUUACGGAGAAAGCUUUAUGCACCAUUGGAUGAGCCCGCACUUGAUUAGUUUGUUGGUAGGGUAAUGGCCUACCAAGACUAUGAUCAAUAGCUGAUUUGAGAGGAUGAUCAGCCACAUUGGGACUGAGACACGGCCCAAACUCCUACGGGAGGCAGCAGUGGGGAAUCUUGCACAAUGGAGGAAACUCUGAUGCAGCGAUGCCGCGUGAGUGAAGAAGGCCUUUGGGUUGUAAAGCUCUUUCGUCGGGGAAGAAAAUGACUGUACCCGAAUAAGAAGGUCCGGCUAACUUCGUGCCAGCAGCCGCGGUAAUACGAAGGGACCUAGCGUAGUUCGGAAUUACUGGGCUUAAAGAGUUCGUAGGUGGUUGAAAAAGUUGGUGGUGAAAUCCCAGAGCUUAACUCUGGAACUGCCAUCAAAACUUUUCAGCUAGAGUAUGAUAG